This 668-nucleotide ribosomal RNA is filed under the name uncultured fungus. RNAcentral's name for it is "eukaryotic LSU rRNA". It matches the Rfam family "Eukaryotic large subunit ribosomal RNA", at positions 24 to 664 of the family's 3401-position model. The record is from RNAcentral. Lineage: Eukaryota; Fungi.
CCCGCUGAACUUAAGCAUAUCAAUAAGCGGAGGAAAAGAAACUAACAAGGAUUCCCCUAGUAACUGCGAGUGAAGCGGGAAGAGCUCAAAUUUAAAAUCUGGCGGUUCUCUGAGCUGUCCGAGUUGUAAUCUAGAGAAGUGCUUUCCGUGCUGGACCGUGUACAAGUCUCUUGGAAUGGAGCGUCAUAGAGGGUGAGAAUCCCGUCUUUGACACGGACUACCAGUGCUUUUGUGAUGCACUCUCGAAGAGUCGAGUUGUUUGGGAAUGCAGCUCAAAAUGGGUGGUAAAUUCCAUCUAAAGCUAAAUAUAGGCGAGAGACCGAUAGCGAACAAGUACCGUGAGGGAAAGAUGAAAAGAACUUUGAAAAGAGAGUUAAACAGUACGUGAAAUUGUUGAAAGGGAAACGCUUCAAGUCAGUCGCGUUGGCUAGUAAUCAACCUUUGCAAUCUUGCUUGGCUUAUUUUCCAGUCGAUGGGUCAGCAUCAAUUUUGACCGUCAGAGAAAGGCGUGGGGAAUGUGGCAUCUUCGGAUGUGUUAUAGCCCCUUGUCACAUGUGAUGGUUGGGAUUGAGGAACUCAGCAUGCCUUUACUGGUCGGGGCUCUAAGUCCACGUAACAUGCUCAGGAUGCUGGCAUAAUGGCUUGAAUCGACCCGUCUUGAAACACGG